This 77-nucleotide transfer RNA is filed under the name Robiginitomaculum sp. RNAcentral's name for it is "tRNA-Met". It matches the Rfam family "tRNA". From Rfam's summary of the family: Transfer RNA (tRNA) molecules are approximately 80 nucleotides in length. Their secondary structure includes four short double-helical elements and three loops (D, anti-codon, and T loops). Lineage: Bacteria; Pseudomonadati; Pseudomonadota; Alphaproteobacteria; Maricaulales; Robiginitomaculaceae. RNAcentral also lists the same sequence under 1 other name. The record is from RNAcentral.
GGUGGGGUAGCUCAGUUGGUUAGAGCGCAGGACUCAUAAUCCUGAGGUCGAGAGUUCAAGUCUCUCUCCCACCACCA